CGCGUAGGCGGACUUUUAAGUUAGAGGUGAAAUCCCAGGGCUCAACCCUGGAACUGCCUUUAAUACUGGAAGUCUUGAGUUCGAGAGAGGUGAGUGGAAUUCCGAGUGUAGAGGUGAAAUUCGUAGAUAUUCGGAGGAACACCAGUGGCGAAGGCGGCUCACUGGCUCGAUACUGACGCUGAGGUGCGAAAGUGUGGGGAGCAAACA
Molecule: ribosomal RNA, 207 nt
Filed under: uncultured bacterium
Lineage: Bacteria
Description: partial 16S ribosomal RNA
Rfam family: Bacterial small subunit ribosomal RNA
Source: RNAcentral